Molecule: ribosomal RNA, 427 nt
Filed under: uncultured prokaryote
Description: bacterial SSU rRNA
Rfam family: Bacterial small subunit ribosomal RNA
Source: RNAcentral
UGGGGAAUUUUCCGCAAUGGGCGAAAGCCUGACGGAGCAAUACCGCGUGAGGGAGGAAGGCUUUUGGGUUGUAAACCUCUUUUCUCAAGGAAGAAGCAAGUGACGGUACUUGAGGAAUAAGCACCGGCUAACUCCGUGCCAGCAGCCGCGGUAAUACGGAGGGUGCAAGCGUUGUCCGGAUUUAUUGGGUUUAAAGGGUACGCAGGCGGGCUAUUAAGUCUGAGGUGAAAGCUCUCGGCUCAACCGGGAAACUGCCUUGGAUACUGGUAGUCUUGAGUACAGUAGAGGUGGGCGGAAUUCAGGGUGUAGCGGUGAAAUGCAUAGAUACCCUGAGGAACACCGAUAGGGGAGCCAGCUCACUGGACUGUCACUGACGCUGAGGUACGAAAGCGUGGGGAGCGAACAGGAUUAGAUACCCCCGUAGUCC